Molecule: ribosomal RNA, 497 nt
Filed under: uncultured bacterium
Lineage: Bacteria
Description: partial 16S ribosomal RNA
Rfam family: Bacterial small subunit ribosomal RNA
Source: RNAcentral
GACGAACGCUGGCGGCGUGCCUAAUACAUGCAAGUUGAGCGCUGAAGGUUGGUACUUGUACCAACUGGAUGAGCAGCGAACGGGUGAGUAACGCGUGGGGAAUCUGCCUUUGAGCGGGGGACAACAUUUGGAAACGAAUGCUAAUACCGCAUAAAAACUUUAAACACAAGUUUUAAGUUUGAAAGAUGCAAUUGCAUCACUCAAAGAUGAUCCCGCGUUGUAUUAGCUAGUUGGUGAGGUAAAGGCUCACCAAGGCGAUGAUACAUAGCCGACCUGAGAGGGUGAUCGGCCACAUUGGGACUGAGACACGGCCCAAACUCCUACGGGAGGCAGCAGUAGGGAAACUUCGGCAAUGGACGAAAGUCUGACCGAGCAACGCCGCGGGAGUGAAGAAGGUUUUCGGAUCGUAAAACUCUGUUGGUAGAGAAGAACGUUGGUGAGAGUGGAAAGCUCAUCAAGUGACGGUAACUACCCAGAAAGGGACGGCUAACUACGUG